Molecule: transfer RNA, 72 nt
Filed under: Phrynosoma platyrhinos (Desert horned lizard)
Lineage: Eukaryota; Metazoa; Chordata; Lepidosauria; Squamata; Phrynosomatidae
Description: tRNA-OTHER
Source: RNAcentral
AGCCAGCUGACAUAGUGGUUUGAGCACUGGCCUAUGACUCUGGAGACUAGGGUUCGAAUCCCAGCUUGGCCA